GCGGGUGUAGCUCAGCUGGCCAGAGCGCUCGCUUCCCAAGCGAGAGGUCGAGGGUUCGAAUCCCUUCACCCGCUCCU
This 77-nucleotide transfer RNA is filed under the name Candidatus Dadabacteria bacterium. RNAcentral's name for it is "tRNA-Gly". It matches the Rfam family "tRNA". Rfam says of the family: Transfer RNA (tRNA) molecules are approximately 80 nucleotides in length. Their secondary structure includes four short double-helical elements and three loops (D, anti-codon, and T loops). Lineage: Bacteria; Pseudomonadati; Thermodesulfobacteriota; Candidatus Dadabacteria. The record is from RNAcentral.